UACGGGGGGGGCAAGCGUUGUUCGGAAUUACUGGGCGUAAAGGGUGCGUAGGCGGCUUUCUAAGUUGGAUGUGAAAACUCUGGGCUCAACCCAGAGCCUGCAUCCAAAACUGGAGAGCUUGGGUUCUGGAGGGGAAAGCGGAAUUCCUGGUGUAGCGGUGAAAUGCGUAGAUAUCAGGAGGAACACCGGUGGUGUAGACGGCUCUCUGGACCGUAACUGACGCUGAGACACGAAAGCGUGGGUAGCAAACAGG
Molecule: ribosomal RNA, 253 nt
Filed under: uncultured prokaryote
Description: partial 16S ribosomal RNA
Rfam family: Bacterial small subunit ribosomal RNA
Source: RNAcentral